Molecule: ribosomal RNA, 1073 nt
Filed under: Didymella glomerata
Lineage: Eukaryota; Fungi; Ascomycota; Dothideomycetes; Pleosporales; Didymellaceae
Description: SSU rRNA
Rfam family: Eukaryotic small subunit ribosomal RNA
Source: RNAcentral
UCAUAUGCUUGUCUCAAAGAUUAAGCCAUGCAUGUCUAAGUAUAAGCAAUUAUACCGUGAAACUGCGAAUGGCUCAUUAAAUCAGUUAUCGUUUAUUUGAUAGUACCUUACUACUUGGAUAACCGUGGUAAUUCUAGAGCUAAUACAUGCUGAAAACCCCAACUUCGGGAGGGGUGUAUUUAUUAGAUAAAAAACCAACGCCCUUCGGGGCUUCUUGGUGAUUCAUGAUAACUUCACGGAUCGCAUGGCCUUGCGCCGGCGACGGUUCAUUCAAAUUUCUGCCCUAUCAACUUUCGAUGGUAAGGUAUUGGCUUACCAUGGUUUCAACGGGUAACGGGGAAUUAGGGUUCGAUUCCGGAGAGGGAGCCUGAGAAACGGCUACCACAUCCAAGGAAGGCAGCAGGCGCGCAAAUUACCCAAUCCCGACACGGGGAGGUAGUGACAAUAAAUACUGAUACAGGGCUCUUUUGGGUCUUGUAAUUGGAAUGAGUACAAUUUAAACCUCUUAACGAGGAACAAUUGGAGGGCAAGUCUGGUGCCAGCAGCCGCGGUAAUUCCAGCUCCAAUAGCGUAUAUUAAAGUUGUUGCAGUUAAAAAGCUCGUAGUUGAAACUUGGGCCUGGCUGGCAGGUCCGCCUCACCGCGUGUACUUGUCCGGCCGGGCCUUUCCUUCUGGAGAACCUCAUGCCCUUCACUGGGUGUGUUGGGGAACCAGGACUUUUACUUUGAAAAAAUUAGAGUGUUCAAAGCAGGCCUUUGCUCGAAUACGUUAGCAUGGAAUAAUAGAAUAGGACGUGCGGUCCUAUUUUGUUGGUUUCUAGGACCGCCGUAAUGAUUAAUAGGGACAGUCGGGGGCAUCAGUAUUCAAUUGUCAGAGGUGAAAUUCUUGGAUUUAUUGAAGACUAACUACUGCGAAAGCAUUUGCCAAGGAUGUUUUCAUUAAUCAGUGAACGAAAGUUAGGGGAUCGAAGACGAUCAGAUACCGUCGUAGUCUUAACCGUAAACUAUGCCGACUAGGGAUCGGGCGAUGUUCUUUUUCUGACUCGCUCGGCACCUUACGAGAAAUCAAAGUUU